RNAcentral lists this ribosomal RNA (504 nucleotides) under uncultured bacterium. Its description in RNAcentral is "bacterial SSU rRNA". It matches the Rfam family "Bacterial small subunit ribosomal RNA", at positions 107 to 607 of the family's 1533-position model. The record is from RNAcentral.
UGAGUAAUGUCUGGGAAACUGCCUGAUGGAGGGGGAUAACUACUGGAAACGGUAGCUAAUACCGCAUAACGUCGCAAGACCAAAGAGGGGGACCUUCGGGCCUCUUGCCAUCAGAUGUGCCCAGAUGGGAUUAGCUAGUAGGUGGGGUAAUGGCUCACCUAGGCGACGAUCCCUAGCUGGUCUGAGAGGAUGACCAGCCACACUGGAACUGAGACACGGUCCAGACUCCUACGGGAGGCAGCAGUGGGGAAUAUUGCACAAUGGGCGCAAGCCUGAUGCAGCCAUGCCGCGUGUGUGAAGAAGGCCUUCGGGUUGUAAAGCACUUUCAGCGAGGAGGAAGGUGGUGAGCUUAAUACGCUCAUCAAUUGACGUUACUCGCAGAAGAAGCACCGGCUAACUCCGUGCCAGCAGCCGCGGUAAUACGGAGGGUGCAAGCGUUAAUCGGAAUUACUGGGCGUAAAGCGCACGCAGGCGGUUUGUUAAGUCAGAUGUGAAAUCCCCGGG